UAAAGUUGUUGCAGUUAAAAAGCUCGUAGUUGAACCUUGGGCUUGGUUAGCCGGUCCACCUUUUUGGUGUGUACUGGACCUAACCGAGCCUUUCCUUCUGGCUAACCUUCUUCCUUUUUGGGAGUUGGCGAACCAGGACUUUUACUUUGAAAAAAUUAGAGUGUUCAAAGCAGGCCUUUGCUCGAAUAUAUUAGCAUGGAAUAAUAGAAUAGGACGUUAUGGUUCUAUUUUGUUGGUUUCUAGGACCAUCGUAAUGAUUAAUAGGAACGGUCGGGGGCAUCAGUAUUCAGUUGUCAGAGGUGAAAUUCUUGGAUUUACUGAAGACUAACUACUGCGAAAGCAUUUGCCAAGGACGUUUUCAUUAAUCAAGAACGAAAGUUAGGGGAUCGAAGAUGAUCAGAUACCGUCGUAGUCUUAACCAUAAACUAUGCCGACUAGGGAUCGGGUGGUGUUCUUUUUUUGACGCACUCGGCACCUUACGAGAAAUCAAAGUCUUUGGGUUCUGGGGGGAGUAUGGUCGCAAGGCUGAAACUUAAAGGAAUUGACGGAAGGGCACCACCAGGAGUGGAGCCUGCGGCUUAAUUUGACUCAACACGGGGAAACUCACCAGGUCCAGACACAAUAAGGAUUGACAGAUUGAGAGCUCUUUCUUGAUUUUGUGGGUGGUGGUGCAUGGCCGUUCUUAGUUGGUGGAGUGAUUUGUCUGCUUAAUUGCGAUAACGAACGAGACCUUAACCUACUAAAUAGUGCUGCUAGCUUUUGCUGGUAUAGUCACUUCUUAGAGGGACUAUCGAUUUCAAGUCGAUGGAAGUUUGAGGCAAUAACAGGUCUGUGAUGCCCUUAGACGUUCUGGGCCGCACGCGCGCUACACUGACGGAGCCAGCGAGUUUAUACCUUGGCCGAGAGGUCUGGGAAAUCUUGUGAAACUCCGUCGUGCUGGGGAUAGAGCAUUGUAAUUAUUGCUCUUCAACGAGGAAUUCCUAGUAAGCGCAAGUCAUCAGCUUGCGUUGAUUACGUCCCUGCCCUUUGUACACACCGCCCGUCGCUACUACCGAUUGAAUGGCUUAGUGAGGCCUCCGGAUUGGUUUAAAGAAGGGGGCAACUCCAUCUUGGAACUGAAAAGCUGGUCAAACUUGGUC
This 1139-nucleotide ribosomal RNA is filed under the name Scheffersomyces cryptocercus. Its description in RNAcentral is "SSU rRNA". It matches the Rfam family "Eukaryotic small subunit ribosomal RNA", at positions 605 to 1770 of the family's 1831-position model. Lineage: Eukaryota; Fungi; Ascomycota; Pichiomycetes; Serinales; Debaryomycetaceae. The record is from RNAcentral.